RNAcentral lists this ribosomal RNA (733 nucleotides) under Pseudomonas sp. RNAcentral describes it as "bacterial SSU rRNA". It matches the Rfam family "Bacterial small subunit ribosomal RNA", at positions 36 to 767 of the family's 1533-position model. The record is from RNAcentral. Lineage: Bacteria; Pseudomonadati; Pseudomonadota; Gammaproteobacteria; Pseudomonadales; Pseudomonadaceae.
CUUUCGCUGCUUACCAUGCCAGUCGAGCGGUAGANANAAGCUUGCUUCUCUUGAGAGCGGCGGACGGGAUGANUAAUGCCUAGGAAUCUGCCUGGUAGUGGGGGAUAACGUUCGGAAACGGACGCUAAUACCGCAUACGUCCUACGGGAGAAAGCAGGGGACCUUCGGGCCUUGCGCUAUCAGAUGAGCCUAGGUCGGAUUAGCUAGUUGGUGGGGUAAUGGCUCACCAAGGCGACGAUCCGUAACUGGUCUGAGAGGAUGAUCAGUCACACUGGAACUGAGACACGGUCCAGACUCCUACGGGAGGCAGCAGUGGGGAAUAUUGGACAAUGGGCGAAAGCCUGAUCCAGCCAUGCCGCGUGUGUGAAGAAGGUCUUCGGAUUGUAAAGCACUUUAAGUUGGGAGGAAGGGCAGUUGCCUAAUACGUAACUGUUUUGACGUUACCGACAGAAUAAGCACCGGCUAACUCUGUGCCAGCAGCCGCGGUAAUACAGAGGGUGCAAGCGUUAAUCGGAAUUACUGGGCGUAAAGCGCGCGUAGGUGGUUUGUUAAGUUGGAUGUGAAAUCCCCGGGCUCAACCUGGGAACUGCAUUCAAAACUGACUGACUAGAGUAUGGUAGAGGGUGGUGGAAUUUCCUGUGUAGCGGUGAAAUGCGUANAUAUAGGAAGGAACACCAGUGGCGAAGGCGACCACCUGGACUAAUACUGACACUGANGUGCNAAACCGUGGGGA